UUGGAGGGCAAGUCUGGUGCCAGCAGCCGCGGUAAUUCCAGCUCCAAUAGCGUAUAUUAAAGUUGUUGCAGUUAAAAAGCUCGUAGUUGAAUUUCGGGGUCAGCAGGUUGGUCGUGCCACUGGUAUGCACUGGCUUCGCUGAUUCCUCCUUUCUGAAGAACUGUAAUGCCAUUAAUUUGGUGUUGCAGGGAAACAGGACUGUUACUUUGAAAAAAUUAGAGUGUUUAAAGCAGGCUUUGGCUUGAAUACAUUAGCAUGGAAUAAUGAAAUAGGACGUUCGAUCCUAUUUUGUUGGUUUCUAGGAUUGACGUAAUGAUUAAUAGGGAUAGUUGGGGGCAUUAGUAUUCAAUUGUCAGAGGUGAAAUUCUUGGAUUUAUUGAAGACUAACUACUGCGAAAGCAUUUGCCAAGGAUGUUUUCAUUAAUCAAGAACGAAAGUUAGGGGAUCGAAGACGAUCAGAUACCGUCGUAGUCUUAACCAUAAACUAUGCCGACUAGGGAUCGGAUGAUGUUAAUUUUUUAAUGACUCAUUCGGCGCCUUACGAGAAAC
RNAcentral lists this ribosomal RNA (549 nucleotides) under uncultured Glomeromycotina. RNAcentral describes it as "SSU rRNA". It matches the Rfam family "Eukaryotic small subunit ribosomal RNA", at positions 548 to 1098 of the family's 1831-position model. Lineage: Eukaryota; Fungi; Glomeromycota. The record is from RNAcentral.